ACCUUAUCAAGAGAGGUGGAGGGACAGGCCCUAUGAAACCCGGCAACCGAUAAUUUAAAUUAUUUGGUGCUAAAUCCUGCAGGACUAGAGUUCUGGAAGAUGAGGU
RNAcentral lists this non-coding RNA (106 nucleotides) under Gottschalkia acidurici. Its description in RNAcentral is "Clostridium acidurici SAM-I sequence". It matches the Rfam family "SAM riboswitch aptamer (S box leader)". From Rfam's summary of the family: The SAM riboswitch is found upstream of a number of genes which code for proteins involved in methionine or cysteine biosynthesis in Gram-positive bacteria. The record is from RNAcentral. RNAcentral also lists the same sequence under 1 other name. Lineage: Bacteria; Bacillati; Bacillota; Tissierellia; Tissierellales; Gottschalkiaceae.